UACAGAGGGGGCAAGCGUUGUUCGGAAUUACUGGGCGUAAAGGGCGCGUAGGCGGCCUGUUAAGUCGAACGUGAAAUCCCCAGGCUCAACCUGGGAACUGCGUCCGAUACUGGCAGGCUUGAAUCCGGGAGAGGGAUGCGGAAUUCCAGGUGUAGCGGUGGAAUGCGCAGAUAUCAGGAGGAACACCAAUAGCGAAGGCAGCUCGCUGGGACGGUACUGACGCUAAGGCGCGAAAGCGUGGGGAGCGAACAGG
RNAcentral lists this ribosomal RNA (253 nucleotides) under uncultured bacterium. RNAcentral describes it as "partial 16S ribosomal RNA". It matches the Rfam family "Bacterial small subunit ribosomal RNA", at positions 524 to 776 of the family's 1533-position model. The record is from RNAcentral.